UACAGGGGGUGCAAACGUUGCUCGGAAUUAUUGGGCGUAAAGCGCGCGUAGGCGGCUACUUAUGUCGGAUGUGAAAGCCCUUGGCUCAACUGAGGAAGUGCACCCGAAACUGAGUAGCUGGAGUACGAAAGAGGGUCGCGGAAUUCCCGGUGUAGAGGUGAAAUUCGUAGAUAUCGGGAGGAACACCGGUGGCGAAGGCGGCGACCUGGGUCGAUACUGACGCUGAGGCGCGAAAGCGUGGGGAGCAAACAGG
Molecule: ribosomal RNA, 253 nt
Filed under: uncultured bacterium
Lineage: Bacteria
Description: partial 16S ribosomal RNA
Rfam family: Bacterial small subunit ribosomal RNA
Source: RNAcentral